GAUGAACGCUGGCGGCGUGCCUAAUACAUGCAAGUCGAACGCAUAGCGAAAGGUGCUUGCACCUUUCAAGUGAGUGGCGAACGGGUGAGUAACACGUGGACAACCUGCCUCAAGGCUGGGGAUAACAUUUGGAAACAGAUGCUAAUACCGAAUAAAACUUAGUGUCGCAUGACACAAAGUUAAAAGGCGCUUCGGCGUCACCUAGAGAUGGAUCCGCGGUGCAUUAGUUAGUUGGUGGGGUAAAGGCCUACCAAGACAAUGAUGCAUAGCCGAGUUGAGAGACUGAUCGGCCACAUUGGGACUGAGACAUGGCCCAAACUCCUACGGGAGGCUGCAGUAGGGAAUCUUCCACAAUGGGCGAAAGCCUGAUGGAGCAACGCCGCGUGUGUGAUGAAGGCUUUCGGGUCGUAAAGCACUGUUGUAUGGGAAGAACAGCUAGAAUAGGAAAUGAUUUUAGUUUGACGGUACCAUACCAGAAAGGGACGGCUAAAUACGUG
RNAcentral lists this ribosomal RNA (497 nucleotides) under uncultured bacterium. RNAcentral describes it as "partial 16S ribosomal RNA". It matches the Rfam family "Bacterial small subunit ribosomal RNA", at positions 28 to 507 of the family's 1533-position model. The record is from RNAcentral.